UACGUAGGGGGCAAGCGUUGUCCGGAAUCAUUGGGCGUAAAGAGCGUGUAGGCGGUUCAGUAAGUCCGCUGUGAAAGUCAAGGGCUCAACCCUUGAAUGCCGGUGGAUACUGUUGAACUAGAGUCCGGAAGAGGCGAGUGGAAUUCCUGGUGUAGCGGUGAAAUGCGCAGAUAUCAGGAGGAACACCGAUGGCGAAGGCAGCUCGCUGGGACGGUACUGACGCUGAGACGCGAAAGCGUGGGGAGCAAACAGG
RNAcentral lists this ribosomal RNA (253 nucleotides) under uncultured bacterium. RNAcentral's name for it is "partial 16S ribosomal RNA". It matches the Rfam family "Bacterial small subunit ribosomal RNA", at positions 524 to 776 of the family's 1533-position model. The record is from RNAcentral.